Ursus americanus (American black bear) is the source of this 1557-nucleotide long non-coding RNA. The record is from Ensembl. Lineage: Eukaryota; Metazoa; Chordata; Mammalia; Carnivora; Ursidae.
CCCACGCCGAAAUCAAGAGUCAGAUGCCUCACCGGCUGAGCCACCCAGGGGACCCUGCUUUAGUAAAUUUCUACACCAUCUCCUAGAGUGUGGGCAUCCCUGUUGGUUCACGCAGCUUUGUAGGGUGGGUCUGGGGAUGGCUCAGGGAGGUGCUCCUGAGGAGUGUGGCCACCGUGGACUGGGCCUCAUCUGGUCUCUGCCCUGACCGUCCGGGGAACCUGGGGGCAAAUCCUUUACCUUUUCCCAGACACAGUUUUUACUCUGCAGAAUGAAUGGCGUUGGCUAUUCCACGAACCGGUGUGUGGUCUGCGGACCAGGAUCACCAGCAACACCUGGGAGCUUACCUAGAAACGGAGAGUCCCAGGCCCCACUCCAGACCUGUCUGAAUCCCCGGUCUGUAUUUUAACAAGAUUCCCAGGUGAUUUGUAUGCACAGCACAGGUCGAGGUGCCUCGCUCUGGACCGGAUUACUGAAAUGUGUCCUUGAACUAGCCGCGUUCGCAUCACCCUGGAGUAGAAGCUCGUUAGCGAUACAAGUUCGUGGGCCCCAGACCUAGUGAACGGCAGCUCUGAGGGUGGGGACCGAGAGCCGGUGUUUUCACAACGUCUCCGGUGAUUCUUAUUAAGCACACUGACCUUUGAGAAGGGCUGAGGCUCGGCCGUGGAGCAGCUGCUGUGUGCAGAGCCCCGUCAGCGCGGCGGUCCUGCUGGACCCACUUCACACGCCAGCGGCUCACAGCGAUUCCGGGAUGUUGUCUUUGCCUUACCUUUGCUGUCUUAAGGAGAAAACUUAAAGGAAAGUUUAAGAGCCAGAUUUCACAUUGAGCAGCUGCAGACGGAGAAAUCAGAGAAAGCACAACCCAGCCCCAGAUUCCGAGGGGCCUGCUGGGGACUCUCCUGCUCGAGAGGGAAGACCCCGAGGCCGGAGUCUCAGGCCAGGUCCUGGCUGCCAUGGGACUCGCAGCUGCUGUCCCCCGGCUGCCCUCCCCGCGGCCAGGCAGAUAAGGGCAGGCACUGCCCCAGGAGCACCUGCUGCCCCCUGCCGGGCUGCUCCUCUGUGGCCAGCCCUUCCCCAGCUUUGGGCCACCUUUGCUGACCCGAGGCCAUGUAGGCCCUACCUGGGCCUUUGUGGAUAGACACACGGCCGGGGACACCGCCUCUGCUCUCUGGGGACACAGCGCACCACCAUGCCCCGGGGAAUCGCCUGGCUGCACUGUGAGUACUGGGGGGGUCCGUGGAGACUGCCCCGGGAAGCCUUGGCCCAGAGCUGGGCUCUGCUGUAACCAUGGCAACCGGGGCCAUUCCUGCUGGUGAGAAGUUGAGAUGCUUCCCAGCCUAAAAGCCUGGGGACUCCCAUAGCUGCCCUCUGCCCUGCCUCUAGCCAACCCCAGCUCAGACCCGCAUGGUGGGUGCAAGUCCUAGGCUGGGUGGGCAUGGUCAGUGGGCGGUCAAGGGGUUGGGGCAAGGGGCAGCACCACCUUCUCAGGCUCACAGGUGCUGGGUGCACGGGGCGGUGGGCAGAGGCGACAGAGAGGAUUUCUGGCUUCCCUGGGUAUGG